Molecule: long non-coding RNA, 305 nt
Filed under: Mytilus galloprovincialis (Mediterranean mussel)
Lineage: Eukaryota; Metazoa; Mollusca; Bivalvia; Mytilida; Mytilidae
Source: RNAcentral
GUGCUCGCUGAACCGUUUUAAUCGUUUUUAUUAGAAAGAAAUGCACUCUAAAUACGGAACAAUUUCAUUUUUUUGUGGGGUCCGUGUUGAUCAGUCUUAAGUUUUAUAUGUGUGUGUUUUGUGUACUUUUGUUUGUUGGUCAUUUUUUCUUUUCUCCAUGUUGUUGUCAGUUUAUUUUCGAUUUGUUAGUUUGAAUAUCCCUAUGAUAUCUUUUGCAUCUUAUUUGUUUUCAAUUAUAGUAAAACAGCUUGCUGAAUGAGUGACGAUAUUUUCAAUUCUUUCUAUUAUAAAAAUAAUAAUCCACG